RNAcentral lists this long non-coding RNA (483 nucleotides) under Elaeis guineensis (African oil palm). Its description in RNAcentral is "long non-coding RNA (EGUI_LNC019050)". Lineage: Eukaryota; Viridiplantae; Streptophyta; Magnoliopsida; Arecales; Arecaceae. The record is from RNAcentral.
UCUUUUCUCUCUCUCGAUCUCUUCUUUUUCCCGUAGCCAACAAAGGUUUCACUAAAGGGGAGAGUAGAGGGGAGGAGGCUCAUCGACGGUGGCGGCGGCGACAUAGUGCGGCCGACGGGAUUGACGGCGAUGGUGGCUUGGCCGGCGCCGCCAAUUCCCAACAAAGCAAGUGGAAACAGUGGAAUUAAAGAGGGAGAAAGGAGGAUUUCCGAUGAUGGCAACUUGAAUGCGGCAAUCCGGUGACGGCCGGAGGUGAAGGAGAAGGGAGAGGGACGCUUCCGUGGUGGAUCAAUCAAGAGGAGGGAGGCUUAAGAAGAAGAGGCGGAAAGGGGAUAAGCUCGAUCCUUCUUGACUAAAGCAGGACUUCACCGACGUAUCUCAUCCAAACGGCCUCCAAUCGUCCUUCCCUAGCCUGCGACUCCUAUCUGAUCAUCCGCGCAACCUUAUCCCUCUCCAAGAGGUGGGUAAGCUUCCCCUGUUCUG